AUUAUUCUUUGGAGAUUUCUUUUGUGCUUAUAUUUAAAUCUAAUAUAAUUUUACUAGCUAUGUUUACUAUUCUCAAUUAUCAGCCUUCUAAUAAGCUAAAGUAUAAGUGCGUCGGAUUUAGUUAACCCUUAGAUGCAUAAGUGGGUCUAAAAUGACCCGGUGAGGUCGUUUUCUUGCAAUAUCAUGAAAAGUUGUUAUCGUUUCAUAUUCCAGGUAUUCCUCAAAAAACAUGUUAUUGAUAUAAUGCCAUUUAAAUUUUUAACUUACCUUUUAUACAUUUUUCGAAAUUGUACUUUUUGUAUUACUACUCCAAGCUUCCAUAAGUGGGUCAAAAAUGACCCGCAUUCAUUUCUUAUGGGACUUCAUGGGAAUCUUUGAUUCUUAUCAACUGUGACUGUCAGGAGUAUGUAUUCUGUGGACCACACAGACUAUAUCAUAAGUGUCACCCCUUAGGAAGAUUAUUUUACACAGCAAGAUCUGAUACAUGUGUCAUGGCUGCUAGGUAUACAGUUGAAAUGGUCCUACAGAUGCUGGAUGAAGAGGCAGUUAUGGGAUUUGACUAGAAUCUGAAAUACACACACACAAACACAGACACAGAAACAAACACACACACACACACACACACACACACACACACACACACACACACACACACCACAGGCAUGCACAAACACACACAAAAUGGAUAUUGACAUUGUUCUUAUUGCUGUUGAGUAAUUUUGUAAUGUUGACAGUUUUCAAAAUGUUAAAAAUGUUAAAAAAGUGAAAAAUAAAAAUAUUUCAUACGUGUAAUCAUUCUUGUGUGGACCAAAAUAUAAUACAAAGUAUAAUACCAAUGAUUAUUCUUAACUGAAAUGACAAAAAUGGCAUAAAAACCCAUUGAUUCUAAUACGGGUCAUUUUUGACCCACUUAUGGAAGAGUGUAGGGUCCAGUUACUCAUGCAUCUAAGGGUUAACUGAACACUGCUGCCAUCUGUAUUUGACGACCUGGGAAUGAGAACAGACUGUGAAGUGUGUCUGUGAAGUCCCUCCCUAUCUUAAGCCAGUGUGUCAUGGCUCUGCUCCCCUCCUGCUCCCUUUGCUCCUCCUCCUUCCCUGUGUGCCUGAUGAGGGUGCGGCCUCCAUUCUCCUCACCUGCUGUCUCACCUGCUCUCAAUCAUUCAUCAUGCCUCAGCCUUCAAGUACCCGGUUUUCCUCCCACUCAUCGCCAGAUUGUUUCAGCCAACUUAGUGGUAACUUUCGUGGCUCCUUUCAGUGUCUAGCUUUCCACUACAUGUCCACCCGUGAUUCUCCUGCUCCAGCUCCCUUGUCUAACCGUUUCUCUCCUGUGCUCCAGGAACCCUCGUGUGCAGUUCAGUUCCCAGAGUCAGUCUCCUGUGCCUCCGUGUCUCCGGUCUCCCUUGUCAUUUCACCUGCCUGUUCCUGCCGCGGCCGCCCCUCUUCCCCCCCAGUGUGUGUGUGCGGAAUAAAGACCCUUAAACCGUC
Dicentrarchus labrax (European seabass) is the source of this 1485-nucleotide long non-coding RNA. RefSeq lists it as uncharacterized. The record is from RefSeq and is a predicted model, not a curated record. NCBI's taxonomy places the organism in Eukaryota, Metazoa, Chordata, Actinopteri, Moronidae. The transcript is spliced from 2 exons.